AGAGUUUGAUCCUGGCUCAGGAUUAACGCUGGCGGCGUGCAUGAGACAUGCAAGUCGAACGGACGAGUGGGCUUGCUCACUCGUUAGUGGCGGACGGCUGAGCAACGCGUAGGUGACCUGCCCCGAAGUGGGGAAUAACUGCCCGAAAGGGUGGCUAAUACCGCAUGUGGUGCCACGUUCAUUCGUGUCUCCAAAGCCGCAAGGCGCUUCGGGAGGGGCCUGCGUCCGAUUAGCUCGUUGGUGGGGUAAUGGCUCACCAAGGCGACGAUCGGUAGGUGGUCUGAGAGGACGAUCACCCAGACUGGGACUGAGACACGGCCCAGACUCCUACGGGAGGCAGCAGUCGGGAAUUUUGCUCAAUGGGCGCAAGCCUGAAGCAGCAACGCCGCGUGGGGGAUGACGGCCUUCGGGUUGUAAACCUCUUUUCCCGGGGACGAUAAUGACGGUACUCGGGGAAUAAGUCACGGCUAACUACGUGCCAGCAGCCGCGGUAAUACGUAGGUGACGAGCGUUGUCCGGAUUUACUGGGCGUAAAGAGCGCGCGGGCGGUCGUACAAGUCGAGUGUGAAAUCCCUCGGCUCAACUGGGGAACGUCGCUCGAUACUGUUCGACUUGAAGGCGGGAGAGGGAAGCGGAAUUCCCGGUGUAGUGGUGAAAUGCGUAGAUAUCGGGAGGAACACCAGUGGCGAAGGCGGCUUUCUGGCCCGUUCUUGACGCUGAGGCGCGAAAGCUAGGGUAGCAAACGGGAUUAGAUACCCCGGUAGUCCUAGCCGUAAACGAUGGACACUAGGUGUUGGUGGUAUCAACCCCGCCAGUGCCGAAGC
This 824-nucleotide ribosomal RNA is filed under the name uncultured bacterium. RNAcentral's name for it is "bacterial SSU rRNA". It matches the Rfam family "Bacterial small subunit ribosomal RNA", at positions 8 to 852 of the family's 1533-position model. The record is from RNAcentral.